Molecule: ribosomal RNA, 460 nt
Filed under: uncultured bacterium
Lineage: Bacteria
Description: partial 16S ribosomal RNA
Rfam family: Bacterial small subunit ribosomal RNA
Source: RNAcentral
CCUACGGGAGACAGCAGUGAGGAAUAUUGGUCAAUGGGCGCUAGCCUGAACCAGCCAAGUAGCGUGAAGGAUGACUGCCCUAUGGGUUGUAAACUUCUUUUAUAUGGGAAUAAAGUGCAGUAUGUAUACUGCUUUGCAUGUACCUUAUGAAUAAGGAUCGGCUAACUCCGUGCCAGCAGCCGCGGUAAUACGGAGGGUCCGAGCGUUAUCCGGAUUUAUUGGGAUUAAAGGGAGCGUAGGCGGGUUGUUAAGUCAGUUGUGAAAGUUUGCGGCUCAACCGUAGAAUUGCAGUUGAUACUGGCAGCCUUGAGUACAGUAGAGGUAGGCGGAAUUCGUGGUGUAGCGGUGAAAUGCUUAGAUAUCACGAAGAACUCCGAUUGCGAAGGCAGCCUGCUGGACUGUAACUGACGCUGAUGCUCGAAAGUGUGGGUAUCAAACAGGAUUAGAUACCCCUGUAGUC